Benincasa hispida (wax gourd) is the source of this 869-nucleotide non-coding RNA. The record is from RefSeq and is a predicted model, not a curated record. NCBI's taxonomy places the organism in Eukaryota, Viridiplantae, Streptophyta, Magnoliopsida, Cucurbitales, Cucurbitaceae.
ACGAGGUUUAGCAAUGCUAUUGGUACCAACGUUCGAGAAUCUUUUUCCAUUCGUUAUGGAUCUUGGAGAGAGGUACCAAUAGAAACAUGAGAGCUUGUUAAGGAUCGAUUAUUGAUGAAAAAUUUGUUCAAAGAGUAUAGGGGGAACUACACAAACACCAGAAAAAAUAUGCAAGUCCUGAAGAGGCACGAGCACACCUGAUCGCCUUAAGAGAAUCCACGUUGCAACAAGUUUUAUGCAACAAGUUUGAAUCCGCCGACUGGAGAGUAAUAAAUUUUGUGUUUUUUUUUUUCUUUGUUUACUUACAUUUCAAUUACUCUAACGAAGUUUAAUUUCUCAUUUUCUUAAAAAGUGGCAGAGACAAAUCAAAGGAAUAGGUCAACCUUAAAGUACACUCAUACAGCUGGUUCUAAAACUUUCAUACGCAUAAGAGAAUCCACGAUAAGUUGGAUAAAGUAUACACAUACAACUGGUUAAAGUACACUCAUCUCAAUAUCUCAUUUUCUUGUGAAUUGUUUUACAGAAAGGACCCGACGAUCAACCAAUGGACCUAGUGGACUUAUUUAGGCAAACACACUGUAGGAGUGAUAACUCUUUUGUUAAUCAGGCUGCGAAUGAUGGAUAUAGUCAAAUGGUUGAGCUGAGAGAAUCCUCCCCCCAAAAAGGGUAUGAACGAAUAUCAAAUGAAGAAAUAUGCGAGUAGGUGUUGGACCCAGGAGUGGGCCUUGGUAGGACAUCAAAGGGUAAAAAAAUGAAAAAAUCUAAGGGAUCAUCGUCCAAUACAUCUUCAUCAAGAAUUAUAGAGGAGCAAAAAUAAGAGAUAGAAUCCUUAAAUGUUAGAUUGGCUAGAUUGGACGAACAGGAUGCCA